RNAcentral lists this unclassified non-coding RNA (258 nucleotides) under Chytridiomycota sp. Its description in RNAcentral is "partial contains small subunit ribosomal RNA, internal transcribed spacer 1, and 5.8S ribosomal RNA". The stretch from base 1 to 47 matches the Rfam family "Eukaryotic small subunit ribosomal RNA", at positions 1785 to 1831 of the family's 1831-position model. Lineage: Eukaryota; Fungi; Chytridiomycota. The record is from RNAcentral.
AAAGUCGUAACAAGGUAACCGUAGGUGAACCUGCGGUUGGAUCAUUAAUAAAUUAUCUUGUGUUGGCCUUUUUCUUGAAAGAGAUUUAAGGCCUUCCAACCCCAAUUGUGAACUUUGAAUGUAUUUUUGGGAGACUUUGGUCUCCCAACGAAUCCUUUACUGGAUUUAAAACUUUUAAGCCUAUUUGAAUAACUUGUCUUUAUCGUUUUUAAUUAAAUUAAUAUAAAACAACUUUUGACAACGGAUCUCUAGGCUCUC